AAGUCGUAACAAGGUUUCCGUAGGUGAACCUGCGGAAGGAUCAUUGCCUGAGGGCGCGAGGCCGAGUGUGACGUCGCCGUCAAAAAGCGACGGUUCGCGGAGCCCGCGCAUUAUACUCAUGACCCAUGUGAACCACCAAAGUGACGUGACGGUGGCGUCGGCGUCGUCGCCGACCCUCCAUCUCUCCUUUUUUUUUUACAUCAUUACCAACCACGUUUACCUUGCUUCUCUGACUGAGAUCGAAGCGACCUUAAAACCGUCGCGACCAAACCAAACAUAUCACAACUUUUAACAACGGAUAUCUUGGCUCGCGCAUCGAUGAAGAACGCAGCGAAAUGCGAUAAGUAGUGUGAAUUGCAGAUUCAGUGAAUCAUCGAAGUUUUGAACGCAAGUUGCGGUGCCGGGUUCUCCCGGCACCAUGCCUGCUUGAGUGUUUGUGACCCAACUCGCCUCGCACGCCUUCGUACCACGUUGCGCGUGCGAGAACGCGGAACUGGGCGAUCACGACCGCGGCGCACCGUGUUAAACCGGUGCUCGUGGGCGCGUCGCUUCAAGUGCAGAAACUCGAUCGAUGCCGCGGUACCGUGCAUCGGACACCCCGACGUGGUAAGGGACGCGCGUUCACACGCGCAACUUCCUCGAUCGUCGAAGGCGGCCGAACCAAACAAUGGCACGAGAAACGGCUCGAACUCAACGAGUUCACAAACAAAGUACCCUCGGGGCUGCUUCCGCGUGGUAACACACGAAGCCACCCGAACCAUUCAACAUUUGACCUCAAGUCAGGUAAGAGGACCCGCUGGAUUUAA
RNAcentral lists this ribosomal RNA (806 nucleotides) under uncultured fungus. Its description in RNAcentral is "eukaryotic LSU rRNA". The stretch from base 284 to 436 matches the Rfam family "5.8S ribosomal RNA". The record is from RNAcentral. Lineage: Eukaryota; Fungi.